Molecule: unclassified non-coding RNA, 263 nt
Filed under: Hevea brasiliensis (rubber tree)
Lineage: Eukaryota; Viridiplantae; Streptophyta; Magnoliopsida; Malpighiales; Euphorbiaceae
Source: RNAcentral
UUGGUUCCAUGAAUUGGAACCAAACCAAACAAAAUUGAAUUUUCAGUUCCAGUUCUAUUCAGUUCUUUGAUGCUUUGGUUCAGAUUCAAUUUUGUACAAUCCGGUUCUCAUGCGGGUCUCAAUUUCUAAAAAAAAUUAUGUAAUUGCUGCCAUGUAAAGUCAAAACUAAUUAUAAUCGAACUUAAUUUUGAAUACUGACAUUCUAAUUAUAAUGUGAUCUUAAGUCAAGCAGUGGGAUUGUAUUUAGUGAAAUUGAAUACUAA